Molecule: transfer RNA, 41 nt
Filed under: Spiranthes laciniata
Lineage: Eukaryota; Viridiplantae; Streptophyta; Magnoliopsida; Asparagales; Orchidaceae
Description: partial tRNA-Gly
Source: RNAcentral
GCGUAUGCGGAUAUGGUCAAAUGGUAAAAUUUCUCUUUGCC